ACAGUUAAGAGCAAACAUUAAACAUCAUGACUGUGUGGAUUCUGUUGCUGCUCUUUUCUGCAACACCAAGUGUCUACAGUAUUGAACUCAUUCAGCCAGACUCUAAAGAACUAAAGCCUGGCCAACCUUUGAGUCUCUCCUGUAAAGUCUCAGGCUAUUCACUGUCUAGCUGUAGCUACUGCACAAACUGGAUACGACAAGCUUCUGGAGGACUGGAGUGGAUUAGAAGAGUUUGCUGCAAUGGAGACACAUACAAUAGUGAAAAACUAAAGAACAAGUUCAGUAUCUCCAGAGACACGUCCAGCAGCACUGUGACAAUAACAGGCCAAAACAUGCAGACUGAAGACACAGCCAUGUAUUACUGCGCACGAGAGUCACAGUGA
Non-coding RNA from Sinocyclocheilus grahami, 383 nucleotides. Lineage: Eukaryota; Metazoa; Chordata; Actinopteri; Cypriniformes; Cyprinidae. The record is from the annotation of a RefSeq genome assembly.